UGCCGUUACGGGGUUCAAAACGGACACGCGGCAUGACCUAGGAUCGGAUGCUUCCGAUCUCGUAUUACUGGAUCAUGGAUCCGGCGAGGUGAAGGCUACGUCGGCGCUCCACGUGCCCCAGGGCCUUAUUAAAUGAGGGGAGCGGAGGUGCCGUCCGUUCGUUCUUCAAGGCGAUUCGAUUCUGCGGACCCAUAAUGAGGCCCCGAGAUCCGAUGGGACAGGGCUUCGAUUUCGUACCCGAUUUAUUGAUCCGGAG
Molecule: long non-coding RNA, 256 nt
Filed under: Phoenix dactylifera (date palm)
Lineage: Eukaryota; Viridiplantae; Streptophyta; Magnoliopsida; Arecales; Arecaceae
Description: long non-coding RNA (PDAC_LNC012356)
Source: RNAcentral